AAAAAACCCCCCCAAAUGACAAAGGUCUAACCUUUGUUAUUAGAUUAGAAGGUGAAAGGCAGGAUUGACAGGAUUGCCUCUCAUUUUUUUUUUUUUUAAUGGCUCGUGUCUGCAAAAUGUGUACUAUUGAGUUUCAAGAUGUUUCCAUAGGGAAUCCCCAUGGUUGAUUAGGAUCAUGGUGAGAUUUAAUGAUAUUUUAGGGUUGAUGAUGGACCUCUCUCUCUCUCUCUCUCUCUCUGAUAGCACAGGAUAGAAUUUUUUUUUGCACUCAUCACCUACAAUCGGCAGAGGCGCUGAAAAUUUAUAGUUACAAGGGCUUGAUUUGUUUUCUGAAUUCUUUAGCUUUCUGCGUGUCACGACUUUCCCCUCUUAAUUAGGUGAAAGAGGGGAAACCAUUAAUCUCUGAAAUCAUUAACGCAUUGAUUAAUUUCCUUACAAUUCAUUCCUUAUUCGCUUUAGUGCAGAAAGCUAAAGAAUUCCACAUUGUCUCUAGCUUCAGUAUUUUUAGUUUGAUCUCUGUGGAAACCAUCGAAUUUUCUAGCCAUGAAGAACUCCAUAUGAUUAAUUUGCAGUGAAGCAGAGGACGAAGGUGAAGAUGAAUCAAUCUUCCUUAUCUGUUAGAAGUCUCAGAGCCCUCCAUCAUGAAACAGGACAUUUUUAGAGUCCAGCAAGAGGUGAGGAAGUGAGCUUCUCAACUCUCAAGUAUAUAGGAAGGCAUUAAGUAUCUGAACAAACCAAUGUAGGAGGACUAUACAUUUGUAAUUCUGAACAACUCGAUCAUGCACUGGAUCCAACUUUGCAUCAGUGGUUGGAUUAUUGUACAAAACUGUAGAUUCCUUUCCCGAGGCAGUGGUUGGCUGUCAAGUUGAUAUUAUAUUUGGUGA
Macadamia integrifolia is the source of this 884-nucleotide long non-coding RNA. RefSeq lists it as uncharacterized. Lineage: Eukaryota; Viridiplantae; Streptophyta; Magnoliopsida; Proteales; Proteaceae. The transcript is spliced from 2 exons. The record is from RefSeq and is a predicted model, not a curated record.